UGGCUCAGGAUGAACGCUAGCGGCAGGCUUAACACAUGCAAGUCGAGGGGCAUCGGGAGUAGCAAUACUGCCGGCGACCGGCGCAAGGGUGCGUAACGCGUGAGCAACAUGCCCGUAUCAGGGGGAUAAUCCAUGGAAACGUGGUCUAAUACCCCAUAGUAAUUAUGUAAGGCAUCUUAUAUAAUUUAAAGCUUUGGUGGAUACGGAUUGGCUCGCGUGACAUUAGCUAGAUGGUAAGGUAACGGCUUACCAUGGCUACGAUGUCUAGGGGUUCUGAGAGGAAGGUCCCCCCACACUGGAACUGAGACACGGUCCAGACUCCUACGGGAGGCAGCAGUGAGGAAUAUUGGACAAUGGAUGGAAAUCUGAUCCAGCCAUGCCGCGUGCAAGGAAGACGGCCCUAUGGGUUGUAAACUGCUUUUGUAUGGGAGCAAUAAGGGCUACGCGUAGUCCGAUGAGAGUACCAUACGAAUAAGCACCGGCUAACUCCGUGCCAGCCGCAGC
Molecule: ribosomal RNA, 504 nt
Filed under: uncultured bacterium
Lineage: Bacteria
Description: bacterial SSU rRNA
Rfam family: Bacterial small subunit ribosomal RNA
Source: RNAcentral